AGCUGGUUUCUCAAGAAAAGAAUUUUAGUUCAACCUAAAGUAACCUUAAUACACACAAAUUACCACACCACUUUAGAGCAAUUCAAAUGAGGUACAGCCCAUUUGAUAUAGGAUACAACCUUAACUAACGGGUAAUAUUAAAUUUACACCUUCAAGUAGGCCUAAGAGCAGCCACCUUUUAAAAAGCGUCAAAGCUUAAUCAUGUUUGCAUCAAUUUUAAACCCCUUAUUGACCCCUUUAACAAUAUUGAGAACUUCUAUACCCUAUAGAACCUUUUAUGCUAAAACUAGUAACAAGAGAAAACCCUCUCCCCAAUGCAAGCACAAGCCAGCAAGAACCCAUCACUGGCAACUAACAGACCUAAACAAAAGUAGUAACCUCACUAGAAAACCCUACUUCUAUCAACUGUUAACCUGACACCAGAGCAUUUCAAGAAAGAUUAAAAGAAAAAGAAGGAACUCGGCAAACCCUAAUCCCGCCUGUUUACCAAAAACAUCGCCUCUUGCCCCCAUAAGAGGUCAAGCCUGCCCAGUGACUUUGUUCAACGGCCGCGGUAUCCUAACCGUGCGAAGGUAGCGUAAUCACUUGUUUUCUAAAUAAAGACCAGUAUGAAAGGCAUCACGAGGAUUAAACUGUCUCCUUUUUCCAAUCAGUGAACCUAAUCUCCCCGUGAAGAAGCGGGGAUUAUGAUAUAAGACGAGAAGACCCUAUGGAGCUUAAAACAUUAUACAUCUGCCACCCAUUUUUAACCAUCCAGAUGCUUCCCCAAAUGGCACUUUGAUUGUAUGUUUUUGGUUGGGGUGACCGCGGAGAAAAACUUAUCCUCCGCAAUGAAAGGGGAAUUUCCCCUAAACAAUAAGUUACAUCUUUAUGUAUCAACAAAUUGACAUCCAUUGACCCAAUAAUUUGAUUAACGAACCAAGUUACCCUAGGGAUAACAGCGCAAUCCACUUUAAGAGCCCCUAUCGACAAGUGGGCUUACGACCUCGAUGUUGGAUCGGGGUAUCCUAGUGGUGCAGCCGCUACUAAAGGUUCGUUUGUUCAACGAUUAAAACCCCACGUGAUCUGAGUUCAGACCGGAGCAAUCCAGGUCAGUUUCUAUCUAUAAAAGAGCUAUCUUCAGUACGAAAGGACCAAAAUAGCAUGGCCAAUGCGACCCACAAGCCAUAAUUGAUUAUUUUUAGACCUCCACUCAAAAAAUUAUUAAUCUCACCUUACACCU
This 1222-nucleotide ribosomal RNA is filed under the name Pristimantis philipi. RNAcentral's name for it is "partial 16S ribosomal RNA". It matches the Rfam family "Bacterial large subunit ribosomal RNA", at positions 847 to 2925 of the family's 2925-position model. Lineage: Eukaryota; Metazoa; Chordata; Amphibia; Anura; Strabomantidae. The record is from RNAcentral.